UCGAUAUCUGAUGGAAGAUGUCAACUUUUGAUCCUUGGUCACAGUCUAGAUUCUGUUGAAGCAAGCAAACUUUCGCUGCUGUGACUCUCAAGACUCUAUACAUCGGUAUACAAGGUAAACAACUUUCAGCACCAUGGUUUGGUUCAUCGGUUUCGGAUCGAACAGGCAGGAAUUGGAUCUGAACGGUUCAGUUAUGGUUCCUGAUUUUUUAUGAAUGAAAACGAUGAACCGAUCCUACACAGUUCGAUUUUGAAUUAGAGAUCACUCGCUCGUAAUUCAAAUCUAAAAACGUAUUCUUCUUAUGCGAGCAAACGAGAAGAUCACACCGAAUCGAUUAGUCACAGGAUAUAUAUAUCCAGUUCCUAUCUCAUAGGUCAAGGGUGAAUCUCCUAUGGGUGUCUAUGUACGAAACACCACAACGUCCAUAUAUCUCAAGAAUCCGCAACAGUUCCUAUCCUCUAGGGUCUUUUUAACCUAUGGAACAGCCAGCUACUCUUUUGGAUCUUACGCCAUACCAAACGAUCAAAGGAGCAUCAAUCAACCUGCAACUGGCCGAGAAUCAAUGUCUUCCCAGCUCGAGCAUGUCGAGAUCCUCCAUAGCAACUUGGUGAAAAGAGGAAUCUGCACUUGUGCCAGUCCAUCAAAAGAUCAUGUUUUAGCUCAUGCGUCUCUAAGCUCUUUAUGUCAUUGUACAGAGGAAGAUAUUGCUGUUGAAUUGGCCAUUCGUUUGAUUGCAUCCACCUGCAUAAUGCAUUGCAUGCUUCAUGAUCAAUCAGAUCUCAUCCUAUCAUCAACACACUCUCCUUGUCUCUAUAAUCUACAGGCAGAAGAGUGUCAAGGAAGAACUUCCUUUUUACUCCCUCCAUAGAUUUCCGUGUGGUGUUACAUCGCAAACACUGUGUCAUUGUUACUCCCUCCUUGCUUAUAUAAGUAGCACCGUAUCGGCUCACCAUUACCAUUCAAGCAUUUCAUCGAACACCCUUAACCUACCGCGUGAUGGCGUCCGGUUCGGUGACCUCCUCAUGGACGACGAAGCAGAACAAGAUGUUCGAGAAGGCCCUCGCGGUGUUCGACGAGGGCACGCCGGACCGCUGGCACAAGAUCGCCCGUGCCGUCGGGGGGAAGACGUCCGACGAGGUGAGGCGCCACUACGAGCUGCUCGUGGAGGACCUUCGGCGCAUUGAGAAGGGCCACUUCUCGUAUGCCGACUGCCCCUCAUCCGGCAAUACCAGUUGGAGUAAUGGAAGCAUGAAGACGUGAAUUGCUACUCCUAAGAUUUCCAUUAUGAAGAACAGAUGCCGUCGAAGGACUUUCAGAAAGAUUAGAUAUCACUGAUAUUUUAGUAGCCUUCUCUUUCUGUACUCGUAUCCUCUUAAGCUGCAAACAAAAGCACUUGUAUGCAUGCAGUUUGCUGCCUUGGUGUACUUAAUAUAAGUCUGUAAUAUAUUUCUAGAAAAUUUAGGCAUGAGAGAAGAUUUUGUUUUUUA
Molecule: long non-coding RNA, 1487 nt
Organism: Musa acuminata AAA Group (dessert banana)
Lineage: Eukaryota; Viridiplantae; Streptophyta; Magnoliopsida; Zingiberales; Musaceae
Exons: 2
Source: RefSeq, a predicted model, not a curated record